GCUUAACACAUGCAAGUCGAACGGGCAUCUUCGGAUGCUAGUGGCAGACGGGUGAGUAACACGUGGGAACGUACCUUUCGGUUCGGAAUAAUUCAGGGAAACUUGGACUAAUACCGGAUAANCCCUUCGGGGGAAAGAUUCAUCGCCGAUAGAUCGGCCCGCGUCUGAUUAGCUAGUUGGUGAGGUAAUGGCUCACCAAGGCGACAAUAAGUAGCUGGUCUGAGAGGAUGAUCAGCCACACUGGGACUGAGACACGGCCCAGACUCCUACGGGAGGCAGCAGUGGGGAAUAUUGGACAAUGGGCGAAAGCCUGAUCCAGCCAUGCCGCGUGUGUGAUGAAGGCCUUAGGGUUGUAAAGCACUUUUGUCCGGGAAGAUAAUGACUGUACCGGAAGAAUAAGCCCCGGCUAACUUCGUGCCAGCAGCCGCGGUAAUACGAAGGGGGCUAGCGUUGCUCGGAAUCACUGGGCGUAAAGGGCGCGUAGGCGGACUCUUAAGUCGGGGGUGAAAGCCCAGGGCUCANCCCUGGAAUUGCCUUCGAUACUGAGAGUCUUGAGUUCGGAAGAGGUUGGUGGAACUGCGANUGUAAAGGUGAAAUUC
This 599-nucleotide ribosomal RNA is filed under the name alpha proteobacterium WCIP14. Its description in RNAcentral is "bacterial SSU rRNA". It matches the Rfam family "Bacterial small subunit ribosomal RNA", at positions 46 to 689 of the family's 1533-position model. Lineage: Bacteria; Pseudomonadati; Pseudomonadota; Alphaproteobacteria. The record is from RNAcentral.